GUUAGCUAUUACCUUAUCUGUACGUUCCGCAUUUGACAGGCGCACCAACAAACGGUGUAUUUAGGAUUUUGCUAUAUACACGGGUCAUAAUCAAAGGGCUGACACUACUAAAUUCAAUCAUUGUCAAAUUGUUCCCUAUUGUAGCUUUAUUCAGCAAUCAGCAAGACUUUCUAAGAUAACUUAUAUAGGACAAUGCUGUUGAUUAAAAAAUACCCCAUUCCUGGAAAGCCUGGACCUUUUGUUUUCCAAAUAAUUAAUAUUUCCAAUAAUGGAUAAGUUCCAGGUCGACGGGUUCAAACAGAAAGAUUUGAAAGCAGAGAAAACUGUGUAUCUUAUAAUCGACAUGACUUUUUCAGAUGACAAUACCAAUUACAAAUAAGGCUUAGGCAUAGUUAUAUACUUUAAUUCAGUCACGGAC
RNAcentral lists this long non-coding RNA (418 nucleotides) under Mytilus galloprovincialis (Mediterranean mussel). Lineage: Eukaryota; Metazoa; Mollusca; Bivalvia; Mytilida; Mytilidae. The record is from RNAcentral.